Long non-coding RNA from Gallus gallus (chicken), 648 nucleotides. The record is from Ensembl. NCBI's taxonomy places the organism in Eukaryota, Metazoa, Chordata, Aves, Galliformes, Phasianidae.
GUAUUCCUUAUGCUGUUUCCUCCUACUCUGUUUCCUCUCUCCAGCCCUGAUGUCAGAUUGUUUCCCUCCAAGUACUGGUCUGAGGAUCCCCUACGGGCAGAUCUUUACAGUGAUUGCUUUUUUCCUGAUUGCUGCUGCUGUUUUCAGGUUUGUGAAGGAAGUGGCUAUGUUAGACUAGCAAUUGCAGAGCUGGACUGGUGACCACUGUAGAUGUAGAGCCCCCACAUGAUGCAAGUUCCUCCUUAGAAGAAAGAGCUAGAAUCAAAUGGAAGGUGAUUGUGUAGAUCCAUUGAGCUUUGUAGUAAUACACUGCACCUAUCUCCACUAAUUUUCUUCAGUAACUAUCUGCCUGAUACUGUUAUUUCAAAAGCUGCAAACCACACAGAAAUGCACUGUGUGUGCUGUCAGAUCGCUUGCUCUGAAGUGAAAGACUGAUGUGCUUCAGCAAACUCAAGAAUUUCAUGGCCUCUUUGGUUGAUGACUAUCAGUUUCAGGGGCUUUCUCAAGGGGAAAAUGCACAAAUUUCACGCAGAUUCUGGUGAAAGGAUAAAUUUCACAACUUGUCUUCCCAAGAGGCAUGAAACUUGUCACAGACACGAAGAAAAUAGAGCUCUAUCACUGAUGCAUUGGAGAUGCCCUCAAAAGAGG